CCAGUGCAUGCAUAGUCCAGCUGGGCAGCACAGAAACAGCGAGAGGCCACUGGCUCCCAAACCAAAGCUGGGCCCUUCUGGCUUUGGAGGACCCUCUGGGGAUGGCUGUGGUCAGCACAGCUCUUUCCUUCUCUGCUCUCACAGCUGUGGUGCCGGUGGUCUUUGUGAAGCACGGAGACUCCCCCAGUCAAGGCCAACGGCUGGACUCAGCUGCGUCAUCUCCCUCACCCCGAGCUUCCUCUGCUCCUUACUCUUCACUGGCCGUCCCAACACGGCCACCUGCCCCCCAGCAAACCACAUGAGUCGUGUGCACUGUAGCUGCGUCCACAGACUUGCCCUCAUCCCUCACUGUGGUCCUGGCUUUCAAGGCCAUUGCACCUGGGAGGAGACUGAGGUGUUGGCUGGUGUCAGGGCCUCUGCAUCUUUCCCAUUUGCUCCUGAUCCAAGUGACUCUGUCUGCGGGGUCUGGCUGGGAACCUCUCCCCCAUCCACUGCCAGAGGCUCACAUUCUGAGCCCAGAUACAUCCUGGUAGUCUGCGUCCUGGGAUACCUGAGCUCCUUGGCCCUGGGAAGCUUCAGUGUGACUUUCUUGGCCAGGAACCUGUCUGACACCUGCGUGGAGCCAAGUCCCUGACGUUGAGCGAGAGUUCUGCAGUGUCUGGGUCACCUUCCUUCC
Molecule: long non-coding RNA, 676 nt
Filed under: Homo sapiens (human)
Lineage: Eukaryota; Metazoa; Chordata; Mammalia; Primates; Hominidae
Description: non-protein coding lnc-OR4F17-9:1
Source: RNAcentral